This 1109-nucleotide long non-coding RNA is filed under the name Dasypus novemcinctus (nine-banded armadillo). RNAcentral's name for it is "lncRNA (ENSDNOG00000051131.1)". The record is from RNAcentral. Lineage: Eukaryota; Metazoa; Chordata; Mammalia; Cingulata; Dasypodidae.
AAACCAGCCCUACUUACCUUUCAGUGAUGUUAGGAGAGCAAAUGAGAAGAUACACGUGAACAUGUGCUGUUGACUUCAAAAUGCUGCCCAGAAUGCAACACAGAAACAAUUGUCGCUGCCUUGGACCUGGGCAGAAGAAGUCCUGGGAAUGGCUCUCGAAGCCCCUUGUCAGCUGGGUCAGUUGGAAACCCUGGCUUCACUCCUGCUCUGAGCUGGGGGCUCACAAAUAAAGAAAUCAAUCAGCAAGCAAUUCCAGGCUCCUGUGUGCCCAAGCCUGUGCCAGACCCUGAGAACAGACUGAGGAAAGUGGGCAGAAGUUGCAGGGAGGUGGAAUUGUCUCCACAGAAGAGAAAAUUUCCUGAUAAAAGGACCUGGCCAGGCAAGUCCCUCCAGAAGUCUGAUGGGUCCUCACUGCUGGAGGUGAGCCAGCCAGCAGAGGAGUCAGGCAGCCUCACAUGGAGCUACCUCAGAGCUGUGUUCACCCACGUGCAGAACCUGGACCUCUGGUGGAAUGCCAGAUGAUUUAGAUGGUGCAUUGACAAGACAUUAAAUCACAGUGAACCCCAUAGUGAGAAAAUUAUUUCCUUUUCAAAACUCUUUCUUUCUCUUCUUUUUUCCGUUGGUCCUCAGGUUCAAAGAACUGAUUAAUCAUAAUCCUUGGUUCAUGAUACAUCUCAUCAAUGGUCCUUGAAUGGACCACUUUAUUAUGUGUGUGUGUGUGUGUGUAUAUUUUUUUAUUCAUUUUUUUAAAUUACAUUUUAAAAAUAUGAGGUCCCCAUUCACCCCCACCGCCCCCACCCCACCACUCCCCCCACAGUACCACUCUCCCCCAUCAUCAUGACAUAUCCAUUGCAUUUGGUGAGUACAUCUCUGGGCAUCGCUGCACCCUAUGGCCAAUGGUUCACACCAUAGCCCACACUCUCCCACAUUCCAUCCAGUGGGCCAUGGGAGGACAUACAAUGUCCAGUAAUUGUCCCUGCAGCACCACCCAGAACAACUCCAAGUCCCGAAAAUGCCUCCACAUCUCAUCUCCUCCUCCCAUUCCCCGUACCAAUCAGCCAUCAUGGCCACUUUUUCCACACCAAUGCACAUUUUCUCGAUUAUUAACC